AGACAGCAAUGCAUGAAGACGGCAGUACAAGACGACUGGUAAAGGGGUUCCAGUUCCCACUGUGCGCCGCUGGACUGCCUCCGAAGUAAUGAAGGUUGUGGUGGUGUCUGCAGAGGAGGAGGAGGUGGAUGAGGGAGAGCAGGCUGGACCCUCCCAGCAUGCUGAUGCUACACCACCACCUGUUGGAGAAAAUGUGGAGGUGGAAGCCGAAGAGGCUGGUCCCUCUUACCAACCGCAUCCCCCCCAGUUCCUGAUGAGGAAGAAGAGGAAGAGGUCAUCACCAGCCCCCGUCAGGAGGUUCUCCGUAAAUUGAAAAAAUAAUAAUAAUCCAGCUGCAGGACGAGGAUGAAGAAGCAAUGUUGGAGAUAAAAAACAUAAAAAAAGAUUAGGGAGUAGCAAAUGCAGUUGAAUCAGCAGCUGCGCCAUGUCGAAAAGAAGGUGCAUCAGCUGGAGGAGAGGCAUAGUAAGGUCAACCAGGA
Long non-coding RNA from Bufo gargarizans (Asiatic toad), 479 nucleotides. RefSeq lists it as uncharacterized. Lineage: Eukaryota; Metazoa; Chordata; Amphibia; Anura; Bufonidae. The transcript has 3 exons. The record is from RefSeq and is a predicted model, not a curated record.